CCGAGUUCGGGUACGCCACAAUCGUGCCCAACCUCCAACCCUGUGUCUACCACACCUUGUGUUGCUUCGGCGGGCCCGUCUGGGUUUACCCUAGACCGCCGGAGGGGAGUAAAACACCCUCUGGUCCGCGCCCGCCGAUAGCCAAACCACACAAACUCUUGAAUUAAACCUUGUCUGAACUGGUUAAACAUAAAUAACUAA
RNAcentral lists this unclassified non-coding RNA (201 nucleotides) under uncultured fungus. Its description in RNAcentral is "sequence contains ITS1, 5.8S rRNA gene". Lineage: Eukaryota; Fungi. The record is from RNAcentral.